This 499-nucleotide ribosomal RNA is filed under the name uncultured Glomeromycotina. RNAcentral's name for it is "partial small subunit ribosomal RNA". It matches the Rfam family "Eukaryotic small subunit ribosomal RNA", at positions 591 to 1092 of the family's 1831-position model. The record is from RNAcentral. Lineage: Eukaryota; Fungi; Glomeromycota.
CCAAUAGCGUAUAUUAAAGUUGUUGCAGUUAAAAAGCUCGUAGUUGAAUUUCGAGACCGGUUUACUGGUCGUGCUUUUGUACGUACUGGUAUUAUCGGUUUCUCCUUUCUGACGAAUCAUAAUGCCAUUAAUUUGGUGUUUUGGGGAAUCAGGACUGUUACUUUGAAAAAAUUAGAGUGUUUAAAGCAGGCUCACGCUUGAAUACAUUAGCAUGGAAUAACGGAAUAGGACGUUUGAUUCUAUUUUGUUGGUUUCUAGGAUCGACGUAAUGAUUAAUAGGGAUAGUUGGGGGCAUUAGUAUUCAAUUGUCAGAGGUGAAAUUCUUGGAUUUAUUGAAGACUAACUACUGCGAAAGCAUUUGCCAAGGAUGUUUUCAUUAAUCAAGAACGAAAGGUAGGGGAUCGAAGACGAUCAGAUACCGUCGUAGUCUUAACCAUAAACUAUGCCGACUAGGGAUCGGAUGAUGUUAAUUUUUUAAUGACUCAUUCGGCGCCUUACG